Molecule: long non-coding RNA, 1355 nt
Filed under: Ananas comosus (pineapple)
Lineage: Eukaryota; Viridiplantae; Streptophyta; Magnoliopsida; Poales; Bromeliaceae
Description: long non-coding RNA (ACOM_LNC037982)
Source: RNAcentral
UCCUUAUAAUUUUCUAUUUUUUUUAUUUUAAUAUUUUAUAGUUUAAAAUAUAUACAGUAAUUUUAUUUUCUUUUUCAUCAAUUUUUUUAGCUAAAAUUUUGUUGAAUCAUAUACGAAAAAUUUCAGAUAUCUCAUAUAUAAUUUAUUGAACAUUCACUUUAGUAUUUUUUAAUUUUUAACUUUGUCAAUAAUUUAAUAAAAAAAUUAAUAAAAAAAUAAAUAAGAGCAUAUUGUAAGAAAAUGAUAUGCUUUAAACUAUAAGAUACUAAAGUGAGAAAGUGUGAAACUAUAUAUAUAGGUAGGGGUGGAAACGAGCCGAGCUCGAGCGAGCUUACGUCAGCUCAAAUUCGGCUUGAAAUUAAUUUCGAGCCUAAAUCUAGGCUCAAGCUCGGCUUGAAAUUAAUUCGAGCCGAGCUCGAGUAAGUCUAAUUUCGAGUUGAGCCGAGCUCGAGCUCUAAACGAGCCGAUUGAAAUUCUCGACAUUAUAUAAUCAAUAGUUUAAUUUUUGUAAAAUAUUAUCUAUAAUUUGAUGCAACAUGUCCAAUAGUUCAAAAUACAAAAUAAUUAUAAGAAAUGUGAGCUAGGAUGACUUCUUGACUAGAUGAGCGUCCGAGAGAGAGAGAGAGAGAGAGAGAGAGAGAGAGAAAAAAGUAGAGAUUUGGGAAUUUGAAUGUUAUCAUGUUUUAGGGUUAUGUGCAACAGUGAAAGUCUGAAAGAGAUAGUGUGUUAUGUAAAUUGUACUUGUUGGGUUUAUUUUAUGGGCCAACAAUAAUGGCCCAAAUUAAAUUAAAGCCUAUAUAUAAUUAAAAUACAUUAUAUAUAUAUAUAUAUAUAUAUAUAUAUAUAUGAGUCCGGCUGCUAUACUUUUAUGAGUAUUGGCUCCUUUAUACUCAUAAGUUUUCAACCCUUAGAUUUAUUCCAUUAAUCGUUUUCAUCCGUUAGAUCAUACUAUUUAACCAACUACCCCCUCAACCCUAGGGGACCACUGUCAUUCUAAGUGGGGACCACCAUCAUCCUAACCAUAUAUCCCAUCAAUCAACGGUUAAAAAUUUAUGAGUACAAGGGGGUCUAUACUCAUAAGAGUAUAGUAGCCCCAACCUAUAUAUAUAUUUUCGAGCUUUUCGAGCUUUUCGAGCCUAAUUCGAACGAGCCGAAUAAUACUCAAGCUCGGCUUGAAAUGAAUUUCGAGCCUUUUAUUUUGUUCAAGCUCGGCUCAUUUAAUUUCGAGUCGAGCUCGAGCGAGCCGAAUAUCGAGCCGAACACGAGUCGAACGCGAGCCGGCUCGCUCGUUUGCCAGCCCUAUAUAUAGGAUGGUAUCUGAAGUUUUUCUUUUAUUUUAUUAAAUUUAAGCCUAA